This is a long non-coding RNA of Brassica oleracea var. oleracea, 460 nucleotides long. RefSeq lists it as uncharacterized. The transcript is spliced from 3 exons. The record is from RefSeq and is a predicted model, not a curated record. Lineage: Eukaryota; Viridiplantae; Streptophyta; Magnoliopsida; Brassicales; Brassicaceae.
AAAAUUGUUUUUAAUUGUUUAGUCCCCAAAAUCUCAAGGCAUGCCACUGCUGCAGCUUCACCCGGACGUACCUGAAGAGGAUAUUGAGUUCUCCGACUACGAUUUGAAGUUCGUCGAAGAGAACACUGAUUACGCCCCUAUUCGUCACUCGUAUUGACACCACUGCUAUUAACAGGCAAUGCGUUGGUGAACAAACGACAGUGGAGGACAGGUAUGAGGAAGAGAAAGGGAGUAGUAACGAGAUCCAAGUGGAUCCUGUUGAUGUGCUCCCUGUCAAGACUUAAGAUGGCAAACUCCACCAGCGAACUCUGACAAAGACGUCAAAACUAGCUAAGGGGGAUACUGAUGAAGCAGAAGAGGAUGUUAUUGAAGAUGAAAAUAUAUUGAACAAAUCUCAGAGGAGAGCAAAAGCUAAAAAGAGGCGAAAAAACAAGAGAAGGAAUUGCCUAAAGAGGAGGAA